Molecule: long non-coding RNA, 301 nt
Organism: Felis catus (domestic cat)
Lineage: Eukaryota; Metazoa; Chordata; Mammalia; Carnivora; Felidae
Exons: 2
Source: RefSeq, a predicted model, not a curated record
UUCACCCCACUCCUGUUCGGCUGGGCUAAUCAGUGUUCCAGUUAGCACACUGGCACACACAAUCCACCUCUUUAACCAUGUUGGCCACCACCGCAUUGCUGGCUUGGUGUUCCUUCUUUCUGGGAGUCUCCCCUAGUCCUAUUUAGCUGACCUCACAUGAGGUCACCAGGACUGAGAGUGCUAUUUCCACUCUCCACCCCUCUGCCCUGGCAUUUGUAAGUCUAGUUAGUGUUUUCUGCUGGAGCUGGAGACCCACACAAAUCAUGACCAAAGGAAAUAAAGAAAUCAACAAACACUUGAA